GACGAACGCUGGCGGCGUGCUUAACACAUGCAAGUCGAACGCUGAAGCUUGGUGCUUGCACUGGGUGGAUGAGUGGCGAACGGGUGAGUAAUACGUGAGUAACCUGCCCUUGACUCUGGGAUAAGCCUGGGAAACUGGGUCUAAUACUGGAUACGACAUGCCACUGCAUGGUGGUGUGUGGAAAGGGUUUUACUGGAUUUGGCUGGGCUCACGGCCUAUCAGCUUGUUGGUGGGGUAAUGGCCUACCAAGGCGACGACGGGUAGCCGGCCUGAGAGGGUGACCGGCGCCCCUGGGACUGAGAGACGGCCCAGACUCCUACGGGAGGCAGCAGUGGGGAAUAUUGCACAAUGGGCGGACGCCUGAUGCAGCGACGCCGCGUGCGGGAUGACGGCCUUCGGGUUGUAAACCUCUUUCAGCACGGAAGAAGCGAGAGUGACGGUACGUGCAGAAGAAGCGCCGGCUAACUACGUG
Molecule: ribosomal RNA, 472 nt
Filed under: uncultured bacterium
Lineage: Bacteria
Description: partial 16S ribosomal RNA
Rfam family: Bacterial small subunit ribosomal RNA
Source: RNAcentral